This 815-nucleotide ribosomal RNA is filed under the name uncultured bacterium. Its description in RNAcentral is "bacterial SSU rRNA". It matches the Rfam family "Bacterial small subunit ribosomal RNA", at positions 8 to 796 of the family's 1533-position model. The record is from RNAcentral.
AGAGUUUGAUCCUGGCUCAGAACGAACGCUGGCGGCGUGGAUAAGACAUGCAAGUCGAGCGCUGAUUACAGGGUAGCAAUAUUCUGUAGUUGGAGCGGCGCAAGGGUGCGUAACACGUGGGUAAUCUACCAUGAAGUUUGGGAUAACUUGCUGAAAGGCGAGCUAAUACCGGAUGUAAAAAUUGGGAGGCAUCUUCUGAUUUUCAAAGCUGGGGACCGUAAGGCCUGGCGCUUCAUGAUGAGCCCGCGGCCUAUCAGCUAGUUGGUAAGGUAACGGCUUACCAAGGCUAAGACGGGUAGCUGGUCUGAGAGGACGACCAGCCACACUGGAACUGAGACACGGUCCAGACACCUACGGGUGGCAGCAGUCGAGAAUUUUUCACAAUGGGCGCAAGCCUGAUGGAGCGACGCCGCGUGGGGGAUGAAUGGCUUCGGCCCGUAAACCCCUGUCAUUUGCGAUCAAACCUCGUUAUUUAAAAGAUGACGAGCUGAUAGUAGCGAAAGAGGAAGGGACGGCUAACUCUGUGCCAGCAGCCGCGGUAAUACAGAGGUCCCAAGCGUUGUUCGGAUUCACUGGGCGUAAAGGGUGCGUAGGUGGCGAGGUAAGUCGGAUGUGAAAUCUCCGAGCUCAACUCGGAAAUGGCAUUGGAAACUACCUUGCUUGAGGGUCGGAGGGGGGACUGGAAUACUUGGUGUAGCAGUGAAAUGCGUAGAUAUCAAGUGGAACACCAGUGGCGAAGGCGAGUCCCUGGACGACUCCUGACACUGAGGCACGAAAGCUAGGGGAGCAAACAGGAUUAGAUACCCUAGUAGUCC